RNAcentral lists this ribosomal RNA (865 nucleotides) under Fusarium solani. Its description in RNAcentral is "LSU rRNA". It matches the Rfam family "Eukaryotic large subunit ribosomal RNA", at positions 34 to 930 of the family's 3401-position model. The record is from RNAcentral. Lineage: Eukaryota; Fungi; Ascomycota; Sordariomycetes; Hypocreales; Nectriaceae.
UUAAGCAUAUCAAUAAGCGGAGGAAAAGAAACCAACAGGGAUUGCCCCAGUAACGGCGAGUGAAGCGGCAACAGCUCAAAUUUGAAAUCUGGCUCUCGGGCCCGAGUUGUAAUUUGUAGAGGAUGCUUUUGGUGAGGUGCCUUCCGAGUUCCCUGGAACGGGACGCCAUAGAGGGUGAGAGCCCCGUCUGGUUGGACACCGACCCUCUGUAAAGCUCCUUCGACGAGUCGAGUAGUUUGGGAAUGCUGCUCUAAAUGGGAGGUAUAUGUCUUCUAAAGCUAAAUACCGGCCAGAGACCGAUAGCGCACAAGUAGAGUGAUCGAAAGAUGAAAAGAACUUUGAAAAGAGAGUUAAAAAGUACGUGAAAUUGUUGAAAGGGAAGCGCUUGUGACCAGACUUGGGCUUGGUUGAUCAUCCGGGGUUCUCCCCGGUGCACUCUUCCGGCCCAGGCCAGCAUCAGUUCGCCCUGGGGGACAAAGGCUUCGGGAAUGUGGCUCUCUCCGGGGAGUGUUAUAGCCCGCUGCGUAAUACCCUGUGGCGGACUGAGGUUCGCGCAUUCGCAAGGAUGCUGGCGUAAUGGUCAUCAGUGACCCGUCUUGAAACACGGACCAAGGAGUCGUCUUCGUAUGCGAGUGUUCGGGUGUCAAACCCCUACGCGAAAUGAAAGUGAACGCAGGUGAGAGCUUCGGCGCAUCAUCGACCGAUCCUGAUGUUAUCGGAUGGAUUUGAGUAAGAGCAUACGGGGCCGGACCCGAAAGAAGGUGAACUAUGCCUGUGUAGGGUGAAGCCAGAGGAAACUCUGGUGGAGGCUCGCAGCGGUUCUGACGUGCAAAUCGAUCGUCAAACAUGGGCAUGGGGCGAAAGA